GACCUUUGGGCCUUUACAUCGGUCCAACAUUCAACCGAUGGGAAAAGUUAAAUGAGAUUCUUCCAAAAACCCUAUCUCUACUUCAGCACUAGUACUGCAACACAUCUUUUAUUUCUUCUUCUUCUUCGAGUGCGGCGCCGAACCAUACUAUCAGACUCUAUUUUGUUCUUUCGUUCUUUCUUUCGAUUUCGAUCUCUCAAACUAACUCCAAUCUCUUUCUUUCGUUUUCUCUCUAAAUCUCUCGAUCUAGCUCGAAGAACUACUCUGUGAAUUCAAGAUCUACAUUCUCCAAGCAGCCAUGGAAGAUAAACUAAUUGAUAUGCUUACUGAAACGUUCAAUCGCUUUGUUAUUGACUGCAAUUUGAAUUCCUCAACAGAUCGACUUCUUUUCAAGCUAGUUUGUUGAAGAACUAUCUUGAUAAGAAAGCAGUGGAUGCUCUACAAAUUCUAAGGAAAAAGUUAUCAGAAAAUGAGUCGAAGUAGAAUAUCAAAUUAAAAUUCCAGUAAGAGAAUUUAGUUUGACAGGUGAAUAAGCUUUAAUAAUCUGAUGUUAAAGAUGCUUUGGUUUUUGGCAUGGGGGUAUGCAUUGAUUAUUUACUUUGUUACUUUUUUCUUUCACAUUAUGCCAAAAUCUGAACUUAUUGAAAAUGACUUGCUGUGUCAACCAUAACCGAGAUAUUGUAAACAAUGGUGUCAUUUGAUAUUCAAGACAACAGCCUUAGGAACUAUAAUGUGCAAAUAACCAAGCAAGUGUAUCAUCAGCACAUCAAGCAAGUGUAUGAUCAACACAACAACAUAUGUACAGAGACCGUUUCUUGCUUGU
Long non-coding RNA from Vicia villosa (hairy vetch), 823 nucleotides. RefSeq lists it as uncharacterized. NCBI's taxonomy places the organism in Eukaryota, Viridiplantae, Streptophyta, Magnoliopsida, Fabales, Fabaceae. The transcript has 3 exons. The record is from RefSeq and is a predicted model, not a curated record.